CUGUGCAGUUCCUUGCACGAUGGGGCUACUGUCAUGCAAUUCAUGGCACAACAGCUAAUGUCGUGUGUGUGUGUGUGUGUGUGUGUGUGUGUGUGUGUUUAGACAGAUGAGCUACUCUCGGUAGACACAUCAUUCUAAUACAGAGAAAAGAUGGAGAAGGGGUGUCAAUCAGUUAUAUUUGCAAGGGUUAGCAGGGAGCAUCAGAAUCCCUGAAUGACAAAGUAAAUGCAGGAGUGUUGUUAUGUCUGCAGCAGGUCAGACUCUUGCUCACACUGUACAGUGUUUAUUCUUGUGAACGCCGUUGGAGUGCUCAUAUAAGGACUACUCGGCACGAGUAAGUGUUGCAGAGCCGGCCCCGUGGUCCACGCAUGAAGUCAUGUGUUAUUUAAAAAUAAAGCAGGCUCUGUGCCCUACUGAGAGAAGAACGGACUUCUACGAAUGUACGUGGACGUAGCUGGUCAGAGGAGGGCCCAAUUUUCAGCCUUGGGAGCAGCAACCAUUCCUGAAUUUGGAGUGUGGUGCUGGGCACCCUCGACUCCCACUCCCUUCUAUGGAGCUAAGAGUACACAGCACGUCCCAGGAGGUGCUCAGCGCCUUGCGGGGUCGGGCCGUCGGGCACUGAAUCAACACAGGGGGAAGAAACUACGCUCCAAAGGGACUACUUAAUUCUCCUCAGGUGGAAGGAUUAAGAAUUGUGGCAGUGAAAUGGCCCCUUUGGGGGAGGGACAGGAAGUGCACACAUAUAACUGGAAAAGGAAAAAAAAAGGUAAAUUCCAGAAAAAUCUUAGAAAAAAAUCCAGAAAAAACUGCAAGAAAAUUGCUUUCAA
This 827-nucleotide long non-coding RNA is filed under the name Chrysemys picta bellii (western painted turtle). RNAcentral describes it as "lncRNA (ENSCPBG00000027940.1)". The record is from RNAcentral. Lineage: Eukaryota; Metazoa; Chordata; Testudines; Emydidae.